UUUUAUGGAGAGUUUGAUCCUGGCUCAGGAUGAACGCUGGCGGCGUGCCUAAUACAUGCAAGUCGAGCGAACGGACGAGAAGCUUGCUUCUCUGAUGUUAGCGGCGGACGGGUGAGUAACACGUGGAUAACCUACCUAUAAGACUGGGAUAACUUCGGGAAACCGGAGCUAAUACCGGAUAAUAUUUUGAACCGCAUGGUUCAAAAGUGAAAGACGGUCUUGCUGUCACUUAUAGAUGGAUCCGCGCUGCAUUAGCUAGUUGGUAAGGUAACGGCUUACCAAGGCAACGAUGCAUAGCCGACCUGAGAGGGUGAUCGGCCACACUGGAACUGAGACACGGUCCAGACUCCUACGGGAGGCAGCAGUAGGGAAUCUUCCGCAAUGGGCGAAAGCCUGACGGAGCAACGCCGCGUGAGUG
RNAcentral lists this ribosomal RNA (418 nucleotides) under Staphylococcus aureus. RNAcentral describes it as "bacterial SSU rRNA". It matches the Rfam family "Bacterial small subunit ribosomal RNA", at positions 1 to 407 of the family's 1533-position model. Lineage: Bacteria; Bacillati; Bacillota; Bacilli; Caryophanales; Staphylococcaceae. The record is from RNAcentral.